GGGUAGGAGUGGAAGAAUCAGAGUGUUUCUUUGAAAAUUGGCUUGAUGUGUCUGUCCAAGGGUCAUCUGGAGGAAAAAAUACAAGUGCACUCAGACAUGAACUAAUGGAUAAGGAGGAGACAAUCAGAACUGCUUUGGAUUCAGCCCAUAGAAGGGCCAGAGGAGUCGCGCUGACACCUUCAUGUUUAAACAGAGGACACUUUUCUGCGUGCCACUAGAUGUAUAUCAGCCAUACCAAAAUGCUGCCUUUGCCUGAGACAGGGAAGAUGAAAUGACUUUGGGGAAAUGGAGAAUCAUUCAUGAAUCCAGUUACUUUCUGAUCUGACAGCUUUGUGGCAUCUGAAUGGAUAACAAUUUGAUCUGGUAAUCUCAAUUGAUAGAGUGCAAAUGUGUAGUGAUGCAUUUUGGGAGCUCUGGUAAGUGAAAGAUGUUCACAAUGACUAGUAGAUCCCUAGAGAGCACUGAGAAACAAAGGGACCUUGAUGUCCAAAAGCAAGAGUUCAUGCCCUCUGCUUCUGGCCUUUCAGGCAAUGUUGGAUCCAACACUCCACUGAGCCUUAGAUCCCAUGAGCUCUUGUUUUGUUGACCAGUCUGCUAUCACUGACCUUAUCAAAAACAUAUAGACCACAUCAGAUGAAUUUCCCUCUUCAACACUUCUGAUAUCUCCUCAAUAAAAAUUAGAUAAAAUUUGCAAACCAUGGCAUUACCUCAACAAAGCCAUGCUGACUAUCCCCGAACAUUCCAUGUUUCUCCAAGUGCAGCGACAUUUUGUCCCUUAAAAUUCUUUCUGAUAACUUCCCUACCACCAAGGUUAGACUGGCUUGUAACUUCUGGAUCUGUCCUUUCUUCUUUUAUAUAAAAGUAUGAGCGGUCCUCUGGCACCUUAGCUGUGGCCAGAAAUGACUUGAAAAAUCUUUGCCAGGACCUUUGAUAUCUCCUCCCCUGCUUCAUAAAGUCAUGCAGUAUAGAAACAGGCUCACUUGAUCAACAUCAAUGCCAACUAACAAACAUCAAACUACUGAUCCCAUUUACCUGCACUGAGUCAUUACCUACCAUACCCUGGCCCUUUAAAUGCUCAUCUGUUGCUUCUUUAAUAUUGCAAGCGUAUCUGCCUUCUCCACCUUG
Long non-coding RNA from Stegostoma tigrinum, 1125 nucleotides. RefSeq lists it as uncharacterized. The transcript has 3 exons. The record is from RefSeq and is a predicted model, not a curated record. Lineage: Eukaryota; Metazoa; Chordata; Chondrichthyes; Orectolobiformes; Stegostomatidae.